GGGGAAUUUUCCGCAAUGGGCGAAAGCCUGACGGAGCAACGCCGCGUGAGGGAGGAAGGCCUUAGGGUUGUAAACCUCUUUUCUCUGGGAAGAAGAUCUGACGGUACCAGAGGAAUAAGCCUCGGCUAACUCCGUGCCAGCAGCCGCGGUAAGACGGAGGAUGCAAGCGUUAUCCGGAAUCAUUGGGCGUAAAGCGUCCGCAGGUGGCAAGUCAAGUCUGCUGUUAAAGACAGAAGCUCAACUUCUGAUAGGCAGUGGAAACUGGUUUGCUUGAGUAUGGUAGGGGUUGAGGGAAUUCCCAGUGUAGCGGUGAAAUGCGUAGAUAUUGGGAAGAACACCAGUGGCGAAGGCGCUCAACUGGGCCAUAACUGACACUCAGGGACGAAAGCUAGGGUAGCGAAAGGGAUUAGAUACCCCUGUAGUC
RNAcentral lists this ribosomal RNA (424 nucleotides) under uncultured cyanobacterium. RNAcentral's name for it is "bacterial SSU rRNA". It matches the Rfam family "Bacterial small subunit ribosomal RNA", at positions 356 to 795 of the family's 1533-position model. Lineage: Bacteria; Bacillati; Cyanobacteriota. The record is from RNAcentral.